GAUGAACGCUGGCUACAGGCUUAACACAUGCAAGUCGAGGGGAAACGACGGGGAAGCUUGCUUCCCCGGGCGUCGACCGGCGCACGGGUGAGUAACGCGUAUCCAACCUGCCUCUGACUGAGGGAUAACCCGUCGAAAGUCGGCCUAAUACCUCAUGGCAUCGUCUGCGGGCAUCCAACGACGAUUAAAGAUUUCAUCGGUCAGGGAUGGGGAUGCGUCUGAUUAGCUUGUUGGCGGGGUAACGGCCCACCAAGGCGACGAUCAGUAGGGGUUCUGAGAGGAAGGUCCCCCACAUUGGAACUGAGACACGGUCCAAACUCCUACGGGAGGCAGCAGUGAGGAAUAUUGGUCAAUGGGCGAGAGCCUGAACCAGCCAAGUAGCGUGCAGGAAGACGGCCCUAUGGGUUGUAAACUGCUUUUAUGCGGGGAUAAAGUGAGGGACGUGUCCUUCAUUGCAGGUACCGCAUGAAUAAGGACCGGCUAAUUCCGUGCCAGCAGCCGCGGUAAUACGGAAGGUCCGGGCGUUAUCCGGAUUUAUUGGGUUUAAAGGGAGCGUAGGCCGUGGAUUAAGCGUGUUGUGAAAUGCAGGUGCUCAACGUCUGCACUGCAGCGCGAACUGGUCCACUAGAGUGUGCGCAACGCAGGCGGAAUUCGUCGUGUAGCGGUGAAAUGCUUAGAUAUGACGAAGAACUCCGAUUGCGAAGGCAGCUUGCGGGAGCACAACUGACGCUGAAGUUCGAAAGUGCGGGUAUCGAACAGG
This 760-nucleotide ribosomal RNA is filed under the name uncultured Prevotella sp. RNAcentral describes it as "bacterial SSU rRNA". It matches the Rfam family "Bacterial small subunit ribosomal RNA", at positions 28 to 776 of the family's 1533-position model. Lineage: Bacteria; Pseudomonadati; Bacteroidota; Bacteroidia; Bacteroidales; Prevotellaceae. The record is from RNAcentral.